CAGUCGCCGCGGUAAUACGAAGGGGGCUAGCGUUGCUCGGAAUGACUGGGCGUAAAGGGCGCGUAGGCGGAUUGUUUAGUUAGGCGUGAAAUUCCUGGGCUUAACCUGGGGACUGCGCUUAAUACAGGCAGUCUAGAGUGAGGAAGAGGGUUGUGGAAUUCCCAGUGUAGAGGUGAAAUUCGUAGAUAUCGGGAAGAACACCGGUGGCGAAGGCGGCAACCUGGUCCUUGACUGACGCUGAGGCGCGAAAGCGUGGGGAGCAAACAGGAUUAGAUACCCCUGUAGUCCCUGUCUCUUAUAC
RNAcentral lists this ribosomal RNA (301 nucleotides) under uncultured bacterium. RNAcentral describes it as "partial 16S ribosomal RNA". It matches the Rfam family "Bacterial small subunit ribosomal RNA", at positions 509 to 807 of the family's 1533-position model. The record is from RNAcentral.